AUGCCACGUGACUACCGUCCUCCUCCCUCUCGGAUCAGUCCGCAUGUUCACGGUGCAUUUUUUAUGGAAUAUGUUGAGCAAACCUGGAGAAGCAUCAGCUCAAGAUAUUAUUGUUGUCAUUGCUGUGGAUCUUUACCUGAUACACUGACUUGGCUCGGGACCAGCACUCCUGCUGUUGGACAGAAAGACAUCAGUAAGUAUUUUGGUUUUCCAAUAUAUUAGCAACUGUCAGUGACAUUUAUAUUAAUCAGGCUGAACUUUAAUCAUACUUUAGAUCAGCCUGUUAUACUUAUUGUUUUGUUUGUGCUUUGGUUUGGGGAAGUUGUUUCUGUACUGAUCUUUUCCUGUCUUCUGUUAUUAGACUUGAGAUAUGACUGCACUAUGCUGUUGCUGGUGACCACAGUUAAUUCUACAAGACUGUGUAAGUAAACAAACAACAACAGUUUGGUCUGCAUUUCUUGAAAGAUCACAUCCCCCAAACUUAGUUUAGAGGGUCUACACUGUAUAUAGUGAAGUCUGCAAGUUUUCUAACAGCAAAAUCUGUUUUGUGCCCAAAAUCAUUUUGCACAUCAUUAGAAUGAAAGUUAUUGGCCAUGUUUGCAUAGCCUUUUUAAAAUGAUGCUUUCAUGACAUUAUUGUGUGUUGGGUGGUGGUCAGGGCUAUGCAGACUGACAAGUGGGACAUUGAAUGUCACCUCUCCGGUGGGGAGGGAGCCUGAGAUCGUCUAAAUUGGAGUCUGUUCUAUACCGAAUGCAGAAAAAAAUGUUUUAAGAAAGCAAUUAAGUUCAUGUUCCAAAAAAUAUGAUUGUUUGCUUGCAGGACAACAGGAGAGAUGAGUCCUCCGUCACAGAUGGUGUGGUCAGUGAAGAUGGUCGCCUGCAGGUUCAAGCUCAUUGCAUCUCCAACCCACAUCCACUGCCACUGUACUUAAGGGAAGUUAAAGACUUUCUUCUGCACCUACAUUUGGAUCACCUCGAUCCAUGACAGUCAUUCAGGCAGUAAUGCCUGGACUGGAAACAAGCCAUCCUUAAAAUAAUACAACAUUCCAGCUCAUGUGUUGGAAUGGAAAACAAAUGUGUUGUUUAAAUUAGAGACUGCACUUGUGACAGAACAACAAAUAUUUUAUUUUGAUUAUAUAAGUAAUGUAAGUACAAAACAAACUUGUGGUAGACCUAAACUUAUUUUCAGAAUAAUUAAAUCUGAGACUUUGUUUCAUUGUAAGAUUAUAACAGUGAUGGCAAUAUAAUUGUUUGUUGUUCAGCAGAACAGUGUCCAGUAUGUUGGCUGUUAUACUUUGUUGUGUUUGAAAAUAAAAGUUGGGCUGAUUUUUAACAUCAUUACAAAAAGUGUUGUUAAUUAUUUUUAAUCACAUUCAGGUUACACAAAUUGUUUUUUCAUUUAGUUAAACUUGAAAUGUUUGUCAGUAGGUAAACAAAUAGUAUUGUACAGUCAGAAAUAUCAAGUUAUUCUUAAUACUGCAGACUUGCAAUGUAUAAGUUGUCCUAACAGUCAUCUCAAGUAAGCUUUACUUAGUUUUUUUGAGGCAACGAGUUUCCAUAAUUUUAUUGAGUUCUGGGAACUAACAAGGCUGUACAGUGUACUCAAAAUGAGUAAGUUGCCCUAACUUGGUCAUCUUACGUAAACUUGAUCCAAUUUUUUUGAGUUCUGGGAGCAAAUGAGCUUGUACAGAGUACUCAAAGUAAAUAAGUUGUCCUAACUUAGUCAUUUUUAGCUAAGCUUUACUCAAUUUUUUUGAGGCAACGAGUUUCCAUAAUUUUUUUGAGUUCUGGGAACUAAUUAGAUUUUACAGUGUGG
This 1815-nucleotide long non-coding RNA is filed under the name Oreochromis niloticus (Nile tilapia). RNAcentral describes it as "lncRNA (ENSONIG00000035406.1)". Lineage: Eukaryota; Metazoa; Chordata; Actinopteri; Cichliformes; Cichlidae. The record is from RNAcentral.